Arabidopsis thaliana (thale cress) is the source of this 720-nucleotide non-coding RNA. NCBI's taxonomy places the organism in Eukaryota, Viridiplantae, Streptophyta, Magnoliopsida, Brassicales, Brassicaceae. The record is from RefSeq.
AUGAAGCUUCGUCAACUUCGCCGUUCACCGACUCAUCACUAACCAGAGUUCUUUGUCGGAAACUUUCGUAAUCGGCCGACGUAUAAUUUGUUUAGGUUCUUCAUGAAGCUUUCACUCCUAUAGCCUUCUAUUGUACCUAUUGCCUUUUGCGAUUGAUCACCGGAAGAAAUGGUUGGAUUUAAACUCGCUCACCGGAAAUUUGACCUCAGUUGACCAGAUCCAAAAUAUUCUUGAGAGAAUCAUCAAAACACGAUGAGAACUCCAAAUCUUCAUAUUUCGUUUCCAUCAACCGCAACCACUUGAUUGAAUCAACCAAAAGUAGAACCGACGCUUUUAACGAUCUAUUAGGACAAGCGGGGAUUUACCUUCUCUUGGUAGACUAAUCAACCAUCCAACAAUGCAAGAAUCCAUCUAAACUCCUGGAAUUUUACAGCUUCAAAAAAACUGGGUUUCAAAGCUGCAAAAGGCUACAAAAGAUCCGAACAAAGUCGAAAAAUUAUCUUAAACAAGUCGGAAGAACAAACCGGACUUAGCCGGUAAACAAAGAAAAAGAAACAAACCAAUACAAAAUCGGAAGAUAACAAUGAUACAAGAUCCGAUUUUGAUUUAUGAAAACAAAAGAAGAUUGUAGCUUUCCUCUCUCUAAAAGAUACUUUAGAAGAAAGAGAAAACUUUUUUUUUUUUUCUUUUUAAAGUAGCGGAAGUUAGUUAAUAUUGUAG